Molecule: ribosomal RNA, 839 nt
Filed under: uncultured Mycobacterium sp.
Lineage: Bacteria; Bacillati; Actinomycetota; Actinomycetes; Mycobacteriales; Mycobacteriaceae
Description: bacterial SSU rRNA
Rfam family: Bacterial small subunit ribosomal RNA
Source: RNAcentral
GUCCGGAAUUACUGGGCGUAAAGAGCUCGUAGGUGGUUUGUCGCGUUGUUCGUGAAAACUCACAGCUUAACUGUGGGCGUGCGGGCGAUACGGGCAGACUAGAGUACUGCAGGGGAGACUGGAAUUCCUGGGUGUAGCGGUGGAAUGCGCAGAUAUCAGGAGGAACACCGGUGGCGAAGGCGGGUCUCUGGGCAGUAACUGACGCUGAGGAGCGAAAGCGUGGGGAGCGGACAGGAUUAGAUACCCUGGUAGUCCACGCCGUAAACGGUGGGUACUAGGUGUGGGUUCCUUCCUUGGGAUCCGUGCCGUAGCUAACGCAUUAAGUACCCCGCCUGGGGAGUACGGCCGCAAGGCUAAAACUCAAAGGAAUUGACGGGGGCCCGCACAGGCGGCGGAGCAUGCGGAUUAAUUCGAUGCAACGCGAAGAACCUUACCUGGGUUUGACAUGCACAGGACGCCGGCAGAGAUGUCGGUUCCCUUGUGGCCUGUGUGCAGGUGGUGCAUGGCUGUCGUCAGCUCGUGUCGUGAGAUGUUGGGUUAAGUCCCGCAACGAGCGCAACCCUUGUCCUAUGUUGCCAGCGGGUUAUGCCGGGGACUCGUAGGAGACUGCCGGGGUCAACUCGGAGGAAGGUGGGGAUGACGUCAAGUCAUCAUGCCCCUUAUGUCCAGGGCUUCACACAUGCUACAAUGGCCGGUACAAAGGGCUGCGAUGCCGUGAGGUGGAGCGAAUCCUUUCAAAGCCGGUCUCAGUUCGGAUCGGGGUCUGCAGCUCGACCCCGUGAAGUCGGAGUCGCUAGUAAUCGCAGAUCAGCAACGCUGCGGUGAAUACGUUCCCGGGC